UAUCCUCACAGGUGGGGUGUGCAUCAGGCCUGGAUGGAGCAGUGGGUAUCAGCAGACUCUACUCCAGGCCAGUGCCUGGCCUGUGCAGAAGCUACAGAGACGGCGCUCCUGGACACAGAUGGGGAGGGAGGUCUUGCUGACUACUCUAGGCAAUCCCAGAGCAUUCCAGGUGGCACGGAGGACCCAGUAAAUGGCCCAGUUGCUGGAAUCUUGGCUUUUGUACUCACUGGAAGGAGAACUCUCGCCUCUGUGCAGUU
This 257-nucleotide long non-coding RNA is filed under the name Rattus norvegicus (Norway rat). RNAcentral's name for it is "long non-coding RNA NONRATT023556". The record is from RNAcentral. Lineage: Eukaryota; Metazoa; Chordata; Mammalia; Rodentia; Muridae.